UAAUUUGGAGCCAGAUGUCAACAAACAAAGCGAAACCACAACAAGUCAAGGAUGAACAGCGACUCAUUAGGCAAACUUGGUUUCAAUUUUUUUGUUAGGCAGAAAGUCGGGAUCAGCUCCGACUGUACAGAUGUAAAUUGCAGGAAACUCUGGGCAAGUCAUAGCUACCGCGGUCUUGGGGAAACCCUUGAUGCAGCAGGGAGGGUAAGAGCCUCUCGGAUGGUAAUAACGCUAUGGCAGGGUUUGAGGGGUCGUCCACCCUGAUCGUCCCACACCAGACAAUCGGCAGCCAAGCUCCCUAACUGUUCAUUCAUCAUUAGCACCGAGACUACAAAAUGACGUGGUUUCACCGUUAGUGUCAGAGCAGUGGGAUAAGGUUCAGAGACUAUAAUCGUCUGGGCGCAAGCUUAAGGAAUAGUCCAUUCCCCCCAGUGAUGGGGCUAUCGGAAGUAGGAGGGGGUAGCUCCCUUCUGAGGCACGAUAGGCGCAAAGGGUAGGGACUUCUCCCCUAAUCAAUGAAGCGUGGUAGCAAAG
RNAcentral lists this non-coding RNA (534 nucleotides) under Diderma alpinum. The record is from RNAcentral. Lineage: Eukaryota; Evosea; Eumycetozoa; Physariida; Didymiaceae.